AUGGACCGAAAAUUUGGGGCCAGCUCCCAGCCCACGCUGACUCAGCCGCCUUCAGACUCAGUGUCCCUGGGAAACACGGUGAAGUUCUCCUGCACCCUGAGCAGUCAGCACAGCAGCUACAUUGUUGAAUGGUAUCAACAAAGGGAUGGCCAGGCCUCUAAGUUCCUUUGGCUCAGUUCUGGCACCAAAGGAGAAGGGGUCCCAGAUCGAUUCACUAUUUCUGACUCUGGAGCCAUUCGCUAUUUAACCAUUACCAACGUCCAGCCAGAGGACGAAGCCACUUACUACUGUGGUGCAAGUUAUGGCAGUGUUAGCAGCUUCGGGUAA
Pelodiscus sinensis (Chinese soft-shelled turtle) is the source of this 327-nucleotide non-coding RNA. The record is from the annotation of a RefSeq genome assembly. NCBI's taxonomy places the organism in Eukaryota, Metazoa, Chordata, Testudines, Trionychidae.